This is a long non-coding RNA of Epinephelus moara (kelp grouper), 596 nucleotides long. RefSeq lists it as uncharacterized. The record is from RefSeq and is a predicted model, not a curated record. Lineage: Eukaryota; Metazoa; Chordata; Actinopteri; Perciformes; Serranidae. The transcript has 3 exons.
ACUCACGGAGGAGCCGAAACACACAAUAACAACAAAAGAUGCUCGAUUUCUGAGUAAAAGGGAAUGUUGGAUAAAUUAUUUCUGACUUGACAACAUGAGUUUCUGCGUUUCAGAUGAAAUCAGCAGCUGUGCUCUGUCUUACUGAUUGUUCGGGGAUUUAGAUCCUGUGUGCUACUCUCGACAUUUUUACAGAUCAUUUUACACAGUCUGUUGCAAUGAGGAAGAAAAAAGGACUUUGCUCGGAUAUGCUUCACAUCGUGUGCAGGUCUUGUGAUGCUGCGGAAGUGUCUCUGAUAGUGACAGGGAACAGACACUGACUGACGCCUGUAAGGUGAUAAAGCUAUUUGCAAACUGUUGUGCUGCUGUGACGUGAUCAUGGAUUGGAAGAGUAACCUGAGGCGCACCCAGUCACUGAGGAGCGUCCCCUCGUCAUGUGACAAGCCCACCUGGACAGAGGCAGGGCUUUGGGACAAGACAACAUCUGUGUCCCAGCUUGUUGCAAGGUAUCAAACUGCAGUGAAGGGAAGCGCAUCUAUUCAAGAAACUUCAGUAAAUAAUGUAGAAGCAAAGACAAAGCAGGAGUUCAAAGAGGUAAC